This 434-nucleotide ribosomal RNA is filed under the name uncultured Roseburia sp. RNAcentral describes it as "partial 16S ribosomal RNA". It matches the Rfam family "Bacterial small subunit ribosomal RNA", at positions 341 to 792 of the family's 1533-position model. The record is from RNAcentral. Lineage: Bacteria; Bacillati; Bacillota; Clostridia; Lachnospirales; Lachnospiraceae.
ACGGGAGGCAGCAGUGGGGGAUAUUGCACAAUGGGGGAAACCCUGAUGCAGCGACGCCGCGUGAGUGAAGAAGUAUUUCGGUAUGUAAAGCUCUAUCAGCAGGAAAGAUAAUGACGGUACCUGACUAAGAAGCACCGGCUAAAUACGUGCCGGCAGCCGCAGUAAUACGUAUGGUGCAAGCGUUAUCCGGAUUUACUGGGUGUAAAGGGAGCGCAGGCGGUUUUUUAAGUCUGAUGUGAAAGCCCGUGGCUCAACUGCGGGACUGCAUUGAAAACUGGAGAACUAGAGUGUCGGAGGGGCAAGUGGAAUUCCUAGUGUAGCGGUGAAAUGCGUAGAUAUUAGGAGGAACACCAGUGGCGAAGGCGGCUUGCUGGACGAUAACUGACGCUGAGGCUCGAAAGCGUGGGGAGCAAACAGGAUUAGAUACCCUGGUA